AGUUUUAGGAGUGAUGACAGCGAGAGAGAGAGAGAGAGAGAGAGAGAGUUUUGAUAUGAAAAUCAAGUCCUGCAGCUGAUGCAGCAGUUUAUUCUGAAGUCACAUUAGGAAGCUUUCCUGGUCAGUGAGGAGAGCUGCAGCAGCAAAGCCAAGAA
Molecule: long non-coding RNA, 155 nt
Organism: Oreochromis aureus
Lineage: Eukaryota; Metazoa; Chordata; Actinopteri; Cichliformes; Cichlidae
Exons: 3
Source: RefSeq, a predicted model, not a curated record